Molecule: ribosomal RNA, 253 nt
Filed under: uncultured bacterium
Lineage: Bacteria
Description: partial 16S ribosomal RNA
Rfam family: Bacterial small subunit ribosomal RNA
Source: RNAcentral
UACGGAGGGAGCUAGCGUUGUUCGGAAUUACUGGGCGUAAAGCGCGCGUAGGCGGCUUUGUAAGUUAGAGGUGAAAGCCCAGAGCUCAACUCUGGAACUGCCUUUAAGACUGCAUCGCUUGAAUUGUGGAGAGGUAAGUGGAAUUCCGAGUGUAGAGGUGAAAUUCGUAGAUAUUCGGAAGAACACCAGUGGCGAAGGCGGCUCACUGGACUGGUAUUGACGCUGAGGUGCGAAAGCGUGGGGAGCAAACAGG